Molecule: ribosomal RNA, 1106 nt
Filed under: uncultured Termite group 1 bacterium
Lineage: Bacteria; Pseudomonadati; Elusimicrobiota
Description: bacterial SSU rRNA
Rfam family: Bacterial small subunit ribosomal RNA
Source: RNAcentral
AAUGCGUUUUGAGAUGGUCCUGCGGCCUAUCAGUUAGUUGGUAGGGUAACGGCCUACCAAGACUAUAACGGGUAUCCGACCUGAAAGGGCGAACGGACACACUGGAACUGAGACACGGUCCAGACUCCUACGGGAGGCAGCAGUGGGGAAUUUUGGACAAUGGGGGAAACCCUGAUCCAGCGACGCCGCGUGGAGGACGAAGGCUUUCGAGUUGUAAACUCCUUUUAGAGGGAAAGAAAAAAAUGACGGUACCCUCAGAAAAAGCCACGGCUAACUACGUGCCAGCAGCCGCGGUAAUACGUAGGUGGCGAGCGUUACUCGGAAUUACUAGGCGUAAAGCGUAUGUAGGCGGUUAGAUAAGUCUUUAGUGAAAUUUCUUGGCUCAACUGAGAAUAGUCUAAGGAUACUGUUUAACUUGAGUUUGGGAGAGGGAGACGGAAUUCCUGGUGUAGCGGUGAAAUGCUUAGAUAUCAGGAGGAACACCAAUGGCGAAAGCAGUCUCCUGGCCUAACACUGACGUUAAUGUACGAAAGCUAGGGUAGCAAACAGGAUUAGAUACCCUGGUAGUCCUAGCUGUAAACGAUGUUCACUAGAUGUGGGAGGUAUUGACCCCUUCUGUGUCGACGCUAACGCAUUAAGUGAACCGCCUGGGGAGUACGACCGCAAGGUUGAAACUCAAAAGAAUUGACGGGGGUCCGCACAAGCGGUGGAAUAUGUGGUUUAAUUCGACGCACCACGAAAAACCUUACCUGGGCUUGAACUGCUAAUAGUAAGAGCCGGAAACGGCGAUGAUCCGCAAGGAAGUUAGUAGAGGUGCUGCAUGGCUGUCGUCAGCUCGUGUCGUGAGAUGUUGGGUUAAGUCCCGCAACGAGCGCAACCCUUAUCCCAUGUUACCUGUAGAAAUACAGGGUCUCUGAGGAAACUGCCAUUGAUAAAAUGGAGGAAGGUGGGGACGAAGUCAAGUCAUCAUGGUCUUUAUGUCCAGGGCUACACACGUAUUACAAUGGACGGUACAGAGGGUGGCAAUACCGUAAGGUGGAGCAAAUCCCUAAAGCCGUCCUCAGUUCGGAUUGUGGGCUGCAAUUCGUCCACAUGAAGUAGGAAUC